GACGAACGCUGGCGGCGUGCUUAACACAUGCAAGUCGAACGGAAAGGCCUGCUUUCCCUUGUGGAUUGCGGGUACUCGAGUGGCGAACGGGUGAGUAACACGUGAGUGAUCUGCCCCCAACUUGGGUAUAAGCCUGGGAAACUGGGUCUAAUUCCCGAUAGGACUGCAGGGUGGUGCCUGUGGUGGAAAACGAUGUUCUAGUGGUUGGGGAUGAGCUCGCGGCCUAUCAGCUUGUUGGCGGGGUAAUGGCCUACCAAGGCGGCGCCGGGUAGCCGGCCUGAGAGGGUGGACGGCCACAUUGGGACUGAGAUACGGCCCAGACUCCUACGGGAGGCAGCAGUGGGGAAUAUUGCACAAUGGGCGGAAGCCUGAUGCAGCGACGCCGCGUGGGGGAUGACGGCCUUCGGGUUGUAAACUCCUUUCGACCGCGAGGAAGCCACCUGGUUGGAAGGGUGGUGACGGUAGUGGUAGAAGAAGCACCGGCUAACUACGUG
Molecule: ribosomal RNA, 494 nt
Filed under: uncultured bacterium
Lineage: Bacteria
Description: partial 16S ribosomal RNA
Rfam family: Bacterial small subunit ribosomal RNA
Source: RNAcentral